RNAcentral lists this ribosomal RNA (1346 nucleotides) under uncultured bacterium. RNAcentral's name for it is "partial 16S ribosomal RNA". It matches the Rfam family "Bacterial small subunit ribosomal RNA", at positions 28 to 1381 of the family's 1533-position model. The record is from RNAcentral.
GACGAACGCUGGCGACGUGCUUAACACAUGCAAGUCGAACGGAAAGGCCCUGCUUUUGUGGGGUGCUCGAGUGGCGAACGGGUGAGUAACACGUGAGUAACCUGCCCUUGACUUUGGGAUAACUUCAGGAAACUGGGGCUAAUACCGGAUAGGAGCUCCUGCUGCAUGGUGGGGGUUGGAAAGUUUCGGCGGUUGGGGAUGGACUCGCGGCUUAUCAGCUUGUUGGUGGGGUAGUGGCUUACCAAGGCUUUGACGGGUAGCCGGCCUGAGAGGGUGACCGGCCACAUUGGGACUGAGAUACGGCCCAGACUCCUACGGGAGGCAGCAGUGGGGAAUAUUGCACAAUGGGCGGAAGCCUGAUGCAGCAACGCCGCGUGCGGGAUGACGGCCUUCGGGUUGUAAACCGCUUUCGCCUGUGACGAAGCGUGAGUGACGGUAAUGGGUAAAGAAGCACCGGCUAACUACGUGCCAGCAGCCGCGGUGAUACGUAGGGUGCGAGCGUUGUCCGGAUUUAUUGGGCGUAAAGGGCUCGUAGGUGGUUGAUCGCGUCGGAAGUGUAAUCUUGGGGCUUAACCCUGAGCGUGCUUUCGAUACGGGUUGACUUGAGGAAGGUAGGGGAGAAUGGAAUUCCUGGUGGAGCGGUGGAAUGCGCAGAUAUCAGGAGGAACACCAGUGGCGAAGGCGGUUCUCUGGGCCUUUCCUGACGCUGAGGAGCGAAAGCGUGGGGAGCGAACAGGCUUAGAUACCCUGGUAGUCCACGCUGUAAACGGUGGGUACUAGGGGUGGGGUCCAUUCCACGGGUUCCGUGCCGUAGCUAACGCUUUAAGUACCCCGCCUGGGGAGUACGGCCGCAAGGCUAAAACUCAAAGGAAUUGACGGGGCCCCGCACAAGCGGCGGAGCAUGCGGAUUAAUUCGAUGCAACGCGUAGAACCUUACCUGGGUUUGACAUGGAUCGGGAGUGCUCAGAGAUGGGUGUGCCUCUUUUGGGGUCGGUUCACAGGUGGUGCAUGGCUGUCGUCAGCUCGUGUCGUGAGAUGUUGGGUUAAGUCCCGCAACGAGCGCAACCCUUGUUCACUGUUGCCAGCACGUUAUGGUGGGGACUCAGUGGAGACCGCCGGGGUCAACUCGGAGGAAGGUGGGGAUGACGUCAAGUCAUCAUGCCCCUUAUGUCCAGGGCUUCACGCAUGCUACAAUGGCUGGUACAGAGAGUGGCGAGCCUGUGAGGGUGAGCGAAUCUCGGAAAGCCGGUCUCAGUUCGGAUUGGGGUCUGCAACUCGACCUCAUGAAGUCGGAGUCGCUAGUAAUCGCAGAUCAGCAACGCUGCGGUGAAUACGUUCCCGGGGCU